Molecule: ribosomal RNA, 450 nt
Filed under: uncultured bacterium
Lineage: Bacteria
Description: bacterial SSU rRNA
Rfam family: Bacterial small subunit ribosomal RNA
Source: RNAcentral
GUGGGGAAUAUUGGACAAUGGGGGCAACCCUGAUCCAGCAAUGCCGCGUGUGUGAAGAAGGCCUGCGGGUUGUAAAGCACUUUCGAUGGGAAAGAAAAGCUCAGGGCUAAUAUCCCUGAGUCUUGACGUUACCCAGAGAAGAAGCACCGGCUAACUCUGUGCCAGCAGCCGCGGUAAUACAGAGGGUGCAAGCGUUAAUCGGAAUUACUGGGCGUAAAGCGCGCGUAGGCGGUUUGAUAAGUCGGAUGUGAAAUCCCCGGGCUUAACCUGGGAACUGCAUUCGAUACUGUCUGACUAGAGUUUGGUAGAGGGAAGUGGAAUUCCAGGUGUAGCGGUGAAAUGCGUAGAUAUCUGGAGGAACAUCAGUGGCGAAGGCGACUUCCUGGACCAAAACUGACGCUGAGGUGCGAAAGCGUGGGGAGCAAACAGGAUUAGAAACCCGAGUAGUCC